RNAcentral lists this ribosomal RNA (447 nucleotides) under uncultured bacterium. RNAcentral's name for it is "bacterial SSU rRNA". It matches the Rfam family "Bacterial small subunit ribosomal RNA", at positions 355 to 825 of the family's 1533-position model. The record is from RNAcentral.
UGGGGAAUAUUGGACAAUGGGCGCAAGCCUGAUCCAGCAACGCCGCGUGAAGGAUGAAGUAUUUCGGUAUGUAAACUUCGAAAGAAUAGGAAGAAUAAAUGACGGUACUAUUUAUAAGGUCCGGCUAACUACGUGCCAGCAGCCGCGGUAAUACGUAGGGACCAAGCGUUGUUCGGAUUUACUGGGCGUAAAGGGCGCGUAGGCGGUGUGUCAAGUCAGUUGUGAAAUCUCCGAGCUUAACUCGGAACGGUCAACUGAUACUGUCACACUAGAGUACAGAAGGGGCAAUCGGAAUUCUUGGUGUAGCGGUGAAAUGCGUAGAUAUCAAGAGGAACACCUGAGGCGAAGGCGGGUUGCUGGGCUGAUACUGACGCUGAGGCGCGAAAGCUAGGGUAGCAAACGGGAUUAGAUACCCCUGUAGUCCCUGAGCGGGCUGGCAAGGCGCAU